GUCAGGGCUCCAUCCGACGCGAGCGCAGCGCCCUGCUCGCUGAACGCGAGAAAAAAAACAUCGCCCUGCAUACAGUGUUGCGGCUGGUCCUUGCGGAGGCACUCGUUCUUUGCCGGCGCCGACGGGGGAAUGGAGGAUGCUAGUAUGGAGUUCCUGCAUGACGCCGUUGAAAGGUUCCCCCUGAGAGAGGAAUUCGCUGACAACUUUGAGCACCCAGAUCCGAUUCCCCUCGUCUUCUUGGCGGACGAUGUAGCCGGUCAUGUGGUUCUUGCGGAAUCUAAUACUGGGUCUGGUUGCGCGAAAAAGGUCGGAGACAAUGGAACACGUAGAGCGCGUGAAGGAGUUCGUCGUCGCCAUGAUGCAUUUCCGACAAGGUCGGCGCAAUCCACAAGCGCCUGGCUGGACAAAAAGGCUGCGGUUAGGCAGUGUGCCACCAAACCGGGCACCGUGUCCUUCUCGGAUGAGCGCUCUGGAGCAGUCGACCCGCAAGUAUGCAGAGGAGCUGAUAAGAGUGUAGUACGGCCUGAACUUGGUUUGAGUUUUGAUUCAUUGGGCGAGGCGCGCGACUUCUAUAAUUUGUACUCUUGGGAGAUCAGCUUUGGAAUAUGGUACGGGAAAAGCAGACUAAACGCCGAGAGGACUAAAGUACGGAAAAAGCAGACUAAAUGUGCGUACUCAUGGGGUUAUACCAGUGAGAUAGGGUGAAGCGAACGAUGGUGCAGGUGGGUGUUCCAGUGAACAAGAAGAUGAGGAAAUGAAGGAACGUGUGCGCAGCCUAGCUGCAGCAGCACAUGCUGUAGUCGACCGAGCCAUAGACAGUCCAGGACUCUUCGAAGGCAUAUUCGAGCAAGCGAGGGAUCUCCUAUCAAGACUUGGAGUGUGAGGAUACAUGCAGUCUGGUGCCUCACCUGGUGGUCAAGAACAGUGGGGUUUUAGCUCUACAUCUGCAGAAGAUGGUGAACACGAUGGCAUAAAUUGGGAUUUAAGUAGAGAAUGAAAGCCAGGAAGCUACAGAAAUGGAGACUCAGGAUCAAAACAAUACAGAGGAGGGGGGCAGAGCAGUUGCAGCUACUGAAGUUGAUGAUCAGGACAACAUCAAUUGGGAAGAACUAGGGAAUGCUAGUCAAGAAGCGCCAGCGUUGUCAACUGAAGAACAAAUUGAUGGUGACAAUAUAUUCGGUAUUCGCAAGGAAUCUUGAUGCCCUAUACAGCGGCAUAGAAUUGGACGAUGAUUUCCUAGAUGUGGCAUCAUAGGUGCCAAUUAAUUACAUGGUAGAACAAGUUGCAGUAGGUGCGCCAUCAUAUGUUGUUGAUGAAGAUCACAUAUAUUCUCUGCUUGCUUCUAUGAACACAUGCAUUCGAUGGGUUGCAUGGAUUGGAGCAAUGCUGGUUGUGGGGAGCUCCAGGCCAGGAGACGACACAGACGAAGACCCGCCUUGCAACGGUGUUAUCUUGCUAGGCUGGCAUAAUGAGGACCAAGAGGCACAACCAGAAGCUAGCAGAGACGGUGUCCGUGCAAGCCAACGCCAGAAAUCCCGUACCCAUUUUGUUGAUGUGGUGACAAACUGACGCUCUGGUCCUGCUUUCCGUCGUGAUGAUGAAGAUGGUGGUGAUGGCAGCUCCGACAAAGAGCAUGGCUUCUGUUAGCGGUGGAUCAGCAUCUAGAUUCCAGCAGGCUAUUGUCAACUAUCUGGAGAAGUGUGGUAUUCAGUACACGGUGAAUAAAACAAUGGUAAAGGGCAUACUUCCAUACCAGGGGCUGCAACUGCAGGUGCAGAUAAUUCAGCCAGGUGUGAGUGGGGGGAGAAGCAGUCCGUUGGACUAUAUCAUGUACAACCGUGUGAAAAUGACAUUUCGUUCCAUGUGAACAUGCUAGAGUGUGGCGAGAUCGGAAGAAAUGAUUCAAGCACUUUCAUCCAAUAUUGGCAGUGGCAUAUGGUCAGCACCUGAAAGAUGAGCUCACUCCCGGUGGCGAGUUGACACUGAAUACUUGGAGAUGCAUCCAUCACAUGCUUAGUCAGAUGGAGAAUACAAUAUACCGUGGGUGGCUUGAUAGGUUUAGAGGGAGUUUUGAUCCCGUUUUGUGGAAGAGCUUUGUAGGGAUGAUACUGAAACUGACUGGGAUUACAUCAGCACUAUGAUGGAUUCAGAAGUGAUGGGGCUAUAGGAUUGACUGGCUGAAGAAGGUAAAUGGAUUGGCUACCACAAACCUAGCAAUACUAUUUCCCUAUGGUACUAUCUAUCUGAUUUUGUAUGUGUGUUAUUGAACAAAUAAACUUUUAGUUCAUGUUCCCGGCGAACUUCAUGGAUACAGAGAAGAAAAUUAUGAUGGUGCUUGACCCUACUGAGACUGAUCCAACGGAUGAGAUGAAAAUCAAACAUGAGGCACUAGCAAAGAAGUUCCAGCAUAGGCUCUGCACCAUAUUCAAUGACUUUUCCGGUGCUGAGUUGGUUGAUACCCGUGGAUGGUCAUUUGUGUACCCGUUUGUGGCGCAACAUGAGCCAUGCAGUAGGUGUGUGCGACUGCCUUGAUCAUGCACAGGGUUUUUGUUGUUUAGGAAAAAAAAUCCUGUAACCCUUUUUAGUGUACAUCUUGUUUGCUUCGGA
Triticum aestivum (bread wheat) is the source of this 2607-nucleotide long non-coding RNA. RefSeq lists it as uncharacterized. NCBI's taxonomy places the organism in Eukaryota, Viridiplantae, Streptophyta, Magnoliopsida, Poales, Poaceae. The record is from RefSeq and is a predicted model, not a curated record. The transcript is spliced from 10 exons.